Molecule: long non-coding RNA, 1074 nt
Organism: Zingiber officinale
Lineage: Eukaryota; Viridiplantae; Streptophyta; Magnoliopsida; Zingiberales; Zingiberaceae
Exons: 3
Source: RefSeq, a predicted model, not a curated record
GUGCCCUAAGCCUCCCGAUUCCUUCCUCUUCCUCCCCUCUCGCGACGCAACCCGAUCCCUUCGUCUCCCCCAACCCGCGACGCUUCCUCCUCCUCUCCCCCGUGUACAAAAGCAGUGGCCAAGGAGACGAAUCCUUUCUCUACCCAACUCCUCCUCUCCUCUUCAUUCGCUGCACUCUCCUUCUCAUGUGAUCACCGCCGACUAGCUGUCCACUCCACGUCGCGCUGCCCCUUCACAGGUGCUAGCCCGCAGCCAUCACUGCCAACCGCGACCAGCGUCGGGUUACCACGGCCGGCCAGUAUCUCUCAGUCUCCUCGUGCCAAGCAACAUCGCCGCCAUUCCGAUCCAAAGCCGUGCUCUAACUUCCACCCGAUUUCCUUUUUUCCUUCUCCUUUUCCGAUCGCCGGAUCUCGUCAUCGCUUUAGAUCCAACGCUGGCCGGGGGUCAUUGGCCAAGGGCAGGGGGCCUAGAUCUAGCCGUCGAUCCACUCCAUCGCUGGCCGAGACCUUCAUCUUCUCCUCUGGUUACUUGAGAUUCUCCAACAAUUCCCACCUGAGUCGCUGCCUUGCUCAGAUUGACCAUCGGCCAAGAGGGGGGAGGAUCCAAGUCUCUUUGUCACAGCACCUGGGGGUCGCACCUCAAACCAGUUGACUAUUGUCAGAGAGGAAGAGAAUUGGGCAACUUCAUUGUGACGCCCACCACCAGUUUUGGCGAUGAGUUUCUGUAGCUGUGAAGCAUAUGUUAGGAUAUCAACUCGGGUUGAAGCUGUCAGGAGGUUUCAGUCGCUAGUCCCCACCCUGAGUCGCGACGAUUUUCUAUCUUUGAACUUUUGGUUUCCUUGUUAUGUUCCUAUAAUAUUAUGAUGUGUGGUUGUACUCGAGGAUUUUUAUAUCAAGUUUUGGUCUACUACCUUUGUUUUUCCGCUACGAUGGUUUUUCGUUGUGGGUUGUGUUUUUCUCGAGUAGUGGUAUAGGUUUAUUAAACUGUGUGGUUGUGAAUUGUUGUGUAGUCAGCCGGAGGCUGAAUUAUAUAAACUGCGUGAUUGUUUAAAUAUUUUAUUGUAUAUGUUCUGGU